ACCUACGGGACGCAGCAGUAGGGAAUUUUCGUCAAUGGGCGCAAGCCUGAACGAGCAAUGCCGCGUGAACGAGGAAGGUCUUCGGAUCGUAAAGUUCUGUUGAAGGGGAAAAGAGCGGAGAGAGGAAAUGGUCUCCAAUUGAUAUUACCCUUCGAGGAAGUCACGGCUAACUACGUGCCAGCAGCCGCGGUAAUACGUAGGUGGCAAGCGUUAUCCGGAAUGAUUGGGCGUAAAGGGUGCGUAGGCGGCCUGCUAAGUCUGGAGUGAAAGGUACCGGCUCAACCGGUACAGGCUCUGGAAACUGG
RNAcentral lists this ribosomal RNA (305 nucleotides) under uncultured bacterium. Its description in RNAcentral is "bacterial SSU rRNA". It matches the Rfam family "Bacterial small subunit ribosomal RNA", at positions 337 to 636 of the family's 1533-position model. The record is from RNAcentral.